AUUGAACGCUGGCGGCAGGCCUAACACAUGCAAGUCGAGCGGAUGAAGGGAGCUUGCUCCUGGAUUCAGCGGCGGACGGGUGAGUAAUGCCUAGGAAUCUGCCUGGUAGUGGGGGAUAACGUCCGGAAACGGGCGCUAAUACCGCAUACGUCCUGAGGGAGAAAGUGGGGGAUCUUCGGACCUCACGCUAUCAGAUGAGCCUAGGUCGGAUUAGCUAGUUGGUGGGGUAAAGGCCUACCAAGGCGACGAUCCGUAACUGGUCUGAGAGGAUGAUCAGUCACACCGGAACUGGAACACGUUCCAAACUCCUACGGGGGGAAGCAGUGGGGAAUUUUGGAAAAGGGGGGAAAGCCUGACCCAGCCAUGCCGGGUGUGUGAAGAAGGUCUUCGGAUUGUAAAGCACUUUAAGUGGGGAGGAAGGGCAGUAAGUUAAUACCUUGUUUUUUGGGCGUUACCAACAGAAGAAGCACCGGUUAACUGCGU
RNAcentral lists this ribosomal RNA (483 nucleotides) under uncultured bacterium. Its description in RNAcentral is "partial 16S ribosomal RNA". It matches the Rfam family "Bacterial small subunit ribosomal RNA", at positions 30 to 506 of the family's 1533-position model. The record is from RNAcentral.